RNAcentral lists this ribosomal RNA (196 nucleotides) under uncultured bacterium. RNAcentral describes it as "partial 16S ribosomal RNA". It matches the Rfam family "Bacterial small subunit ribosomal RNA", at positions 328 to 539 of the family's 1533-position model. The record is from RNAcentral.
ACGCUCGACACCUACGGGAGACAGCAGUGGGGAAUAUUGCACAAUGGGGGAAACCCUGAUGCAGCAACGCCGCGUGAAGGAAGACGGUUUUCGGAUUGUAAACUUCUGUUCUUAGUGAAGAUAGUGACGGUAGCUAAGGAGCAAGCCACGGCUAACUACGUGUCAGCAGCGGGUAAUCUGAGCGGGCUGGCAAGGC